UCAAAAUGUCCUUUAAUCUUGUGGAAAGUUGAGAUUAAUGAGUUGUCAUAAAAGGAAAAAUACAUUUGAUCUGAAACGAACUAAAAAGAGAGUAGAACAAAAGAAAUUGAAAUGGAGGGAGUACUAUUUAUCGCUUGAUCAACGUGUCUACUUGUUGUUUCAUAACUCUACAACUAAGAUGCAAAUAUAAGCAAAUUAAGUGUUACAAUUGUUGAGAAUACGAUUAAAUAAUAAAAGUGUGCUCUCUCUAACAGCUUAAACUUUUAGAUGAAAUGAUGUUCGAAAAUGAACUAUGAUUUUCACCAGAGAAUAAGCAAAGCUUAUGAGGGCCCUAACAAAAUUUCUUUUACUGAUUUUUCUAUUAAUAUAUUCUUGUCUGAUCAGAUUUGGGAUCUGUGACAGUGACCAUAAAUACCACAAACAAAUCACAUUUUUUCCUUUUUAUCUGUUUUCUGUAUUAUAGUUGAAGUUUCCAUUAAUAAUUGCUAUUUUCUGUCGCUUUUUCUUAUAAAGUUUUGAUUUUUUUUAGCCAUGAGUAGCAGCAGCUGGUGGAGGAAUCAUGAAGGAAUAUUGACAACUUUUUACCCUUUGUUUUUAGGUCAAGUAGUGUCUUUUGUUAGAGCUCUCAUUAGCUUUGCUUCUUCCCUAGUGGCAAAUCUUGGUGUAAAUACUCCACUUUCUCUGUCAUUCUUCACUUACACAGCUUUAGCUUUGGUGUAUGGAGGAAUCAUGAUAUACAGAAGGCAGAAAUUGCAGAUUCGUUGGUAUUGGUAUGCUCUUAUAGGCUUUGCUGAUGUCCAGGGAAGUUUUCUUGUAAAUAAAGCAUUUCAGUACUCAUCAAUCACUAGUGUGACCAUACUAGAUUGCUGGACUAUAGCUUGGGUGAUGAUUUUGACGUGGCUAUUUUUAGGCACACGAUAUUCUCCGUGGCAAUUCUUUGGUGCAGCAGUCUGUUUAGGUGGCCUUGGACUUGUGCUUGUAUCAGAUGCUAAGGCGAGUGAUGGAAGUGCAGGCGGUUCCAAACCUAUUCUCGGUGAUAUAUUUGUCAUCAUAGCGACAUUUUUCUUCUCAAUGAGUAAUGUUGGUGAGGAGUUCUGUGUGAAAAAGAAAGAUCACGUUGAAGUGGUUUCCAUGAUUGGUCUUUUCGGCUUGCUUGUUACUAUAAUCGAGAUACCGAUCUUUGAAAGGAAGAGUCUGAAGUCAGUCAAGUGGUCUGCAGAGCUUAUAGUAGCCUUCUGUGGCUAUGCAGCAGCAAGCUUUAUGUUCUACACCUUAGUUCCGUUUCUUCUCAAGAUGAGCGGCUCAACGUUGUUCAAUCUAUCUCUUCUCACAUCUGAUGUGUGGGCAGUUGCCAUUAGAACCUUUUUCUACAAGCAAAAGGUUGAAUGGCUGUUUUUUUUAGCUUUUGGACUAGUGGUUACUGGGCUGAUCAUAUACUCGAAAACGUGUGUUCGUGUUCGUUGAAUUCCUUAUCUUUAUUGUAUGAACUCUCUUUCUGUCAUGUUAGACAAGAACGAGGUAAAAUAACAUAUUGUCACCUAGCGGUCAAUGAAGUGGACGAUAACCUUAGGAGUGAGAAGGAUCAUGUAAAUGCAUCAGCUACUAUUGAAGAAGCAAACAAUGAAGCUGAUCAAAGGUACCAACUUGUCAAUGAAGAUGGAGAGACAUGAAGGUAGUUGUAUAAUCGAGAUUACGUUUCGCUUCACGAGAAUCAAUUUGAUUGAAUACUAAAACUUGCAAUUUGGCUCUCGAGAAGUGUAACAUGACAAGUAAAAAGUGAACAGAGAGGGAAUAUGUAAUUAUUAAAUUGCAAACCAGUUAUUAUGUAUCGAACCUUCUCUUUAAAAUUCAAAGUGGAUAUCCCUGCGCGAAUCUCAGCAA
Solanum lycopersicum (tomato) is the source of this 1881-nucleotide RNA transcript. RefSeq lists it as uncharacterized. The record is from RefSeq and is a predicted model, not a curated record. Lineage: Eukaryota; Viridiplantae; Streptophyta; Magnoliopsida; Solanales; Solanaceae.